RNAcentral lists this ribosomal RNA (798 nucleotides) under uncultured Porphyromonadaceae bacterium. RNAcentral's name for it is "bacterial SSU rRNA". It matches the Rfam family "Bacterial small subunit ribosomal RNA", at positions 8 to 795 of the family's 1533-position model. Lineage: Bacteria; Pseudomonadati; Bacteroidota; Bacteroidia; Bacteroidales; Porphyromonadaceae. The record is from RNAcentral.
AGAGUUUGAUUAUGGCUCAGGAUGAACGCUAGCGAUAGGCCUAACACAUGCAAGUCGAGGGGCAGCACAUGAAGUAGCAAUACGGAUGGUGGCGACCGGCGCACGGGUGAGUAACGCGUAUGCAACCUGCCUACAACAGGGGAAUAACCCGUUGAAAGACGGACUAAUACCCCAUAACACAGGGAUCCCGCAUGGGAAUAUUUGUUAAAGAUUUAUCGGUUGUAGAUGGGCAUGCGUUCCAUUAGCUUGUUGGUGAGGUAACGGCUCACCAAGGCAACGACGGGUAGGGGAACUGAGAGGUUUAUCCCCCACACUGGUACUGAGACACGGACCAGACUCCUACGGGAGGCAGCAGUGAGGAAUAUUGGUCAAUGGACGCAAGUCUGAACCAGCCACGUCGCGUGAAGGAAGACGGCCCUACGGGUUGUAAACUUCUUUUGUAAGGGAAUAAAGUGUAGUACGUGUACUAUUUUGCAUGUACCUUACGAAUAAGGAUCGGCUAACUCCGUGCCAGCAGCCGCGGUAAUACGGAGGAUCCGAGCGUUAUCCGGAUUUAUUGGGUUUAAAGGGUGCGCAGGCGGGAGAUUAAGUCGGCGGUGAAAUUUUGCAGCUCAACUGUAAAAGUGCCUUCGAAACUGGUUUCCUUGAGUGUGGAUGAAGUAGGCGGAAUUUGUGGUGUAGCGGUGAAAUGCAUAGAUAUCACGAGGAACUCCGAUUGCGCAGGCAGCUUACUAAACCAUAACUGACGCUCAGGCACGAAAGCGUGGGGAUCAAACAGGAUUAGAUACCCUGGUAGUC